Molecule: ribosomal RNA, 468 nt
Filed under: uncultured bacterium
Lineage: Bacteria
Description: partial 16S ribosomal RNA
Rfam family: Bacterial small subunit ribosomal RNA
Source: RNAcentral
GACGAACGCUGGCGGCGUGCCUAACACAUGCAAGUCGAACGGAAAGGCCCUGCUUUUGUGGGGUGCCCGAGUGGCGAACGGGUGAGUAACACGUGAGUAACCUGCCCUUGACGUUGGGACAACUUCAGGAAACUGGGGCUAAUACCGGAUAGGAGCUGCUGCUGCAUGGGGGGGGUUGGAAAGUUUCGGCGGUUGGGGAUGGACUCGCGGCUUACCAGCUUGUUGGUGGGGUAGUGGCUUACCAAGGGUUCGACGGGUAGCCGGCCUGGGAGGGUGAACGGGGACAUUGGUACUGCGAGACGGCGCAGACUCCUACGGGAGGCAGCAGUGGAGAGUAUUGCACAGUGAGCGGGAGCCUGUGACAACAACGCCGCGUGCGGGAAGACGGCCUUCGGGGUGGAAACCGCUUUCGGCUGUGACGAAGCGUGAGUGACGGUAAUGGGUGAAGAAGCACCGGCUAACUACGUG